RNAcentral lists this ribosomal RNA (879 nucleotides) under uncultured bacterium. RNAcentral describes it as "bacterial SSU rRNA". It matches the Rfam family "Bacterial small subunit ribosomal RNA", at positions 8 to 916 of the family's 1533-position model. The record is from RNAcentral.
AGAGUUUGAUCCUGGCUCAGGAUGAACGCUGGCGGCGUGCCUAACACAUGCAAGUCGAGCGAUCUUCUUCGGAAGAGAGCGGCGGACGGGUGAGUAACGCGUGGGUAACCUGCCUCAUACACAUGGAUAACAUACCGAAAGGUAUGCUAAUACAAGAUGAUAUAAGAGAUUCGCAUGGAUUUCUUAUCAAAGCUCCGGCGGUAUGAGAUGGACCCGCGUCUGAUUAGCUAGUUGGUAAGGUAACGGCUUACCAAGGCGACGAUCAGUAGCCGACCUGAGAGGGUGAUCAGCCACAUUGGAACUGAGACACGGUCCAAACUCCUACGGGAGGCAGCAGUGGGCAAUAUUGCACAAUGGGCGAAAGCCUGAUGCAGCAACGCCGCGUGAGCGAUGAAGGCCUUCGGGUCGUAAAGCUCUGUCCUCAAGGAAGAUAAUGACGGUACUUGAGGAGGAAGCCCCGGCUAACUACGUGCCAGCAGCCGCGGUAAUACGUAGGGGGCUAGCGUUAUCCGGAUUUACUGGGCGUAAAGGGUGCGUAGGUGGUUUCUUAAGUCAGGAGUGAAAGGCUACGGCUCAACCGUAGUAAGCUCUUGAAACUGGGAAACUUGAGUGCAGGAGAGGAAAGUGGAAUUCCUAGUGUAGCGGUGAAAUGCGUAGAUAUUAGGAGGAACACCAGUAGCGAAGGCGGCUUUCUGGACUGUAACUGACACUGGGGCACGAAAGCGUGGGGAGCAAACAGGAUUAGAUACCCUGGUAGUCCACGCCGUAAACGAUGAGUACUAGGUGUCGGGGGUUACCCCCCUCGGUGCCGCAGCUAACGCAUUAAGUACUCCGCCUGGGGAGUACGCUCGCAAGAGUGAAACUCAAAUGAAUUGACGG